RNAcentral lists this ribosomal RNA (1235 nucleotides) under metagenome. Its description in RNAcentral is "bacterial LSU rRNA". It matches the Rfam family "Bacterial large subunit ribosomal RNA", at positions 1564 to 2808 of the family's 2925-position model. The record is from RNAcentral.
UGAAUACGAGAUGCUACGGCAUCGAAGCAGUCUAUGUCAUACUUCCAAGAAAAGCUUGCACUGUCAUAAACAAAUAAUGCCUGUACCAUAACCGACACAGGUGGGUAGGUAGAGUAUACUAAGGGGCGCGAGAUAACUCUCUCUAAGGAACUCGGCAAAAUGACUCCGUAACUUCGGGAGAAGGAGUGCCUUAUUUUAUAAGGUUGCAAUAACAAGAUCCAAGCAACUGUUUACCAAAAACACAGGUCUCCGCUAAGUCGUAAGACGAUGUAUGGGGGCUGACGCCUGCCCAGUGCCAGAAGGUUAAAGAAGUUGGUUAGCAUUAGCGAAGCUGAUAACUGAAGCCCUGGUGAACGGCGGCCGUAACAAUAACGGUCCUAAGGUAGCGAAAUUCCUUGUCGGGUAAGUUCCGACCCGCACGAAAGGCGUAAUGAUUUGGAUACUGUCUCGGAGAGGGGCUCGGUGAAAUAGACUUGUCUGUGAAGAUGCGGACUACCUGCACCAGGACAGAAAGACCCUAUGAAGCUUUACUGUAACUUGAGAUUGAAAUUGGACUUUAUUUGCGCAGUAUAGGUGGGAGACGUUGAAAAUAUUCUUGCGGGAAUAUUGGAGUCAUCAGUGAGAUACCACUCUUAUAAUGUUAGAUUUCUAACUUUGUAUCAUUAUCUGGUCAAAGAACAGUCUCAGGCGGGCAGUUUGUCUGGGGCGGUCGCCUCCCAAACGGUAGCGGAGGCGCACAAAGGUUUCCUCUGAACGUGUAGAAAUCGUAUCUAGAGUGUAAAGGCAUAAGGAAGCUUGACUGUGAGACCUACAAGUCGAGCAGGGACGAAAGUCGGUCUUAGUGAUCUGACGGUGCUGAGUGGAAAGGCCGUCACUCAACGGAUAAAAGUUACUCUAGGAUAACAGGCUGAUCUCCCCCAAGAGUUCACAUCGACGGGGAGGUUUGGCACCUCGAUGUCGGCUCAUCGCAUCCUGGGGCGGUAGUACGUCCCAAGGGUUGGGCUGUUCGCCCAUGAAAGCGGUACGCGAGCUGGGUUCAGAACGUCGUGAGACAGUUCGGUCCUUAUCCGGUGUAGGCGUUAGAAUAUUGAGAGGGGCCUUCUUUAGUACGAGAGGACCGAGAAGGACAUACCUCUGGUGUACCAGUUAUCGUGCCAACGGUAAACGCUGGGUAGCUAUGUAUGGAGAGGAUAACCGCUGAAAGCAUCUAAGUGGGAAGCCCACCUCAAGAUAAG